This 497-nucleotide ribosomal RNA is filed under the name uncultured bacterium. RNAcentral describes it as "partial 16S ribosomal RNA". It matches the Rfam family "Bacterial small subunit ribosomal RNA", at positions 28 to 507 of the family's 1533-position model. The record is from RNAcentral.
GAUGAACGCUGGCGGCGUGCCUAAUACAUGCAAGUCGAGCGAACAGACGAGGAUCUUUCUCCUCUGACGUUAGCGGCGGACGGGUGAGUAACACGUGGAUAACCUACCUAUAAGACUGGGAUAACUUCGGGAAACCGGAGCUAAUACCGGAUAAUAUAUUGAACCGCAUGGUUCAAUAGUGAAAGACGGUUUUGCUGUCACUUAUAGAUGGAUCCGCGCCGCAUUAGCUAGUUGGUAAGGUAACGGCUUACCAAGGCAACGAUGCGUAGCCGACCUGAGAGGGUGAUCAGCCACACUGGAACUGAGACACGGUCCAGACUCCUACGGGAGGCAGCAGUAGGGAAUCUUGCGCAAUGGGCGAAAGCCUGACGGAGCAACGCCGCGUGAGUGAUGAAGGUCUUCGGAUCGUAAAACUCUGUUAUUAGGGAAGAACAAAUGUGUAAGUAAAUAUGCACGUCUUGACGGUACCUAAUCAGAAAGCCACGGCUAACUACGUG